RNAcentral lists this long non-coding RNA (7877 nucleotides) under Lactuca sativa (garden lettuce). RNAcentral's name for it is "long non-coding RNA (LSAT_LNC003393)". Lineage: Eukaryota; Viridiplantae; Streptophyta; Magnoliopsida; Asterales; Asteraceae. The record is from RNAcentral.
UAGUCUUCUGUGAUACCUCUUACGCCAAUCAAGAGGUGCAAACCGGCAAUUCAAGCCAACUUUUGCUACGUAAGUUAGGGUUAAAAGUGUCUGAUCUGGAAUAUUAUAAGAGAAGGUCGCUUGAUGUGAACCCCAAAAGGGUUACACCAGGAGGUCCAGAUGGCCAGCACCAUUUUUAUGAAGCUCCAUUGGCUCACUAGGUUUGCCAUGAUCACAUGGUGGAUCUGAUAGGUUUUAGACAUAAGAUCUUUCCUAUGUGCACAUACAACCCUAUAGCUUGGAUCUAGGUUUCUCUAAUUGAACAUGCAACAUAUCCAAGACUUUCAUGGCUAGAUCUAAUGUAAACUAACAAUCAAAACAUAUGAAAACAGAUCUAUAAUCAUACCUUGGGUUACUUGCUUGAAACCUUCUUCUUCUUGAAGCUUAGAGUCACAAUUGUCACUCCUCUAAUGGCUUACAAACACCAACUAGCAAGAAGAUGAUUUGAGAGAGGUAAGGAAGAGGGAAAUCGGCUCUAGGGUUACUCUAAUAACAAGGUGCCGAUUUCCACAACCCCAAGGGUCUAUUUAUAUUGUGAGCUCCUAGGGUUUCACCCCAAAACCCUAAUUGGAUAACUUAGCCUCAAAGCAAUCCAAUACCCCUUCUAGAUAAGGCCUUGGACGAUUUCUAGGUGAUCCACAUCCUUAAAAUCUUCCACCCCAUAUCCAUAAGGAUUCUUAGCUCAAAAUACAACUAUCACACAUUUGACAGUUUAUACCCCCUUUCUUCAAUUAAUCUCUUUAAGCCACCAAAUUAAUUCCUAAUUAAUUUAUGACUUAUAUUAAUCAAAUAAUAUUAUUAUUACUUUAACAUAUUAUUCUUAUAAUACAUUAAUUAACAAUAAUAUCUCUUCUCUCUAUAUAAAUCACCCUGUCAAGUUGUUAUGGUGAAGGCAACCCAAAAGGACCAUGCAUAAUCGGAUCAAGUACUUACUAAAUAUAGUUACAGCCUUAGACACUAAUCCAACAGUCUCCCACUUGGAUAAGUCUAGUAACUAUAAAUGCAAACACAAUCCGAUUAGCAAUCGUAGCUCUCAAAGAUGCUGUCAACUCUGAUCUUAUCAGUAACCUGUCCUUUAGACAAGGGAUCGUAUAGUCCUCUGUUUUGAUAUCGUGCAGACGAUUUCAUGAAACAUUGUCAUACUUAUUGUCCAACAACUAUUUUCUCGAUCUCAGAUUUAUUUGACAUAGAAUUUAAUUGAACACAUCAAUUCAGUCCUGACCGGGCCCGGCACAUAAGUCAAAUCAAAUCAUCGAGCGGCUGUGAUAUCGCUUUUACCCUCUUAGGAUAAAAGUAACAUAUAAACUUCAACUUAUAUGCAUUUACUUAUCGGCUAAUCAACUAUACGCAACAAUGUGUUUUAUGAAAUCAAUUUACUGAUGCGGUUUCGCAUUAUCAAUGUACAACCAAUUAGUAAAUAAUAAACCAUAUAUCUAGGUUUUAAGACCAUAUGAUAUUAUCGUCUUGCGAUCACCCCAAAGUGAUUCCAGCAAGCACGGGUUUAUUCCAAUGCUCAAAACUUGUUCAUAAGCACUCAUGAACGUUGCAGAAAACCUUUGCUAUGUAUAAUACCAUUUAGACAAUCUACACACCAAUUCAUGACAAUCUUCAUUCAUACCUACUUCCAACAUAUGAACGAUUGUGGACAGUUUGAAUAAUUCGAUUAUUCUUAAUAAACUCAAUUAUUCUGGAAGUCAAAACAUGUAAAGUGAAACAAUAGCUAAACAAUUAACAUAAGAGAGUAACUUUACUUAUAAACAAUACUCUUUUAUUUAAUCAUCAAAUGUCAAUUACAUUUACCUAUUACAUGUUUCUAAAACUAUCUAAUUUAAACUAAUAUCAUCCUUCAGCCCAAUACACCUAGCAUGCUGCAAGUGCUUAACCCUGCUCAGUCCCUUCGUAAGCGGAUCUACUGGGUUAUCUUCUGAUGAUAUCCUCUUAGCCACAACAUGUCCUUCUUCUACUCGAUGUCUAAUAAAGUGAUUUUCGUCGAUAUGUCGAGAUCUACCAUGAUCCCUCGGUUCCUUGGUCAAGGCAACCGCUCCUUCAUUAUCACAGUAAAUUUCCAUGGGCUCCUUUAUAGUAGGCACAACUCCAAGAUCGCCAAUGAAGUUCUUCAACCAUAUUGCCUCCUUUAACGCUUCGCUCACUGCAAUGUACUCUGAUUCGCACGUUGAAUCAGCUACAAUUUCCUGUUUGGAACUUUUCCAAGUUACCGCUCCUCCAUUAAGGGUAAUACCCAUCCCUACUGUGAACGGUAGUUGUCCCUGUCGGUCUGGAAACUGGCGUCACUAUACCCUCGCACCUUUAAGUCGUCACUCCCUCCGAGGACUAGAAACCAUUCCUUGGUCCUCCGAAGGUAUUUAAGGAUGUUCUUGACCGCAAUCCAAUGCUUUCUUCCAGGAUUCCCUUGAUAUCUACUGACCAUGCUCAAAACAAAGGCCACAUCAAGACGAGUACAAGUCAUAGCAUACAUGAUUCAGCCAACUGCGGAAGCGUAAUGUACUCGGCUCAUCUCAACUAUCUUGGCUUCGGUACUCGGACUUUGAGUCUUACUUAACUUUGUAUUACUUUGUAUCGGUAGUUCUCCCUUCUUCGAGUUGUCCAUACUAAAACGUUUUAGUACCUUAUCUAAGUAAGUAUUCUGACUAAGUCCUAUUAGUCUCUUACUUCUUUCAAUCACUAUCCUUAUUCCCAAAAUAUAGGAAGCCUCUCCGAGGUCCUUCAUAGCGAAGCACUUCCCGAGCCAGGACUUGACCUCCUGCAGAGUCGGGAUGUCGUUUCCUAUGAGUAGUAUGUCAUCGUCAUACAGAACGAGGAAGCUUACUAUACUCCCACUGGCUUUGACAUAUACACAUGAUUCAUCUUCGCUUCGUACAAAUCCAAACUCUUUGAAUUUCUCAUCAAAGAAAAGAUUCCAUCUGCGAGAUGCUUGCUUAAGUCCAUAUAAAUGGACUUCUCAAGCUUGCACACUCUAUUUGGAUGCUUCGGAUCGACAAAACCCUCUGGCUGAGCCAUGUAAACAUCCUCAGCCAACUUCCCAUUAAGAAAAGCGGUCUUGACAUCCAUUUGUCAUAUCUCAUAAUCAUGAAAUGCGGCAAUGGCUAGAAUCACCCUAAUAGAUUUUAUCUUACCAACUGGUGAGAAGGUCUCAUCAUAGUCAACUCCGGGAGUUUGAAUAAAGCCCUUCGCCACUAGUCGUGCCUUGUACGUGUGCACAUUCCCAUCCAUGUCGGUUUUCUUCUUGAAGAUCGAUUUGCACCCAACUGCCUUACGUUUGGGCACAUUGUCAACCAAAUUCCAAACUUGGUUGUCAUACAUGGAAUGAAUCUCGCUAUUUAUCGUCUCUUUCCAUUUUGCAGACUCCAGGCCUGCCAUGGCUUCCUUAUAGCAAUUAGGUUCAUCUAGAUUUAUUAGUGUACUAUCACUAAUAUACGUGUCCCCUUCGGUAGUAAUAUGAAAACCAUACAACUGGGGUUGAACUCUAACUCUUUCGGAACGUCUAAGAGGUAAUGACUCGUCAAUUGGUUCAACCGGAGUUUCCUCCUCGGGUUGAGCGCCAGCGUUAGAGGUUCCUUCAUCGCUCGACUCUUGAAUCUCUUCAAGAUCGAUUUGCCUCCCACUGUCUCCUUGGCUUAUGAGUUCUCUCUCUCGGAAAACCCCUCUCCUCGCAACGAAGACAACAUUGUCACUCGGUCUAUAGAAGAGAUAUCCAAAGGAUUUCUGCGGGUAGCCGAUGAAAAUACAUCGCUCACUACGAGGUUCGAGCUUGUCAUGAGUUUCUCGUCUUACGAAAACUUCACAACCCCAAACCUUGAUAUGUGCCAACGAGGGAGCUUUCCCUGUCCACAUCUCGUGAGGUGUUUUGGCAACCUUCUUUGUAGGGACUCAGUUAAGGAUAUGGGCGGCAGUCUCUAAGGCAUACCCCCAAAAUGAGAUAGGUAGUGAAGCACGAAUCAUCAUAGAACGAACCAUGUCUAACAAGGUUCGAUUGCGCCUUUCUACCACACUAUUUAACUGCGGUGUCCUAGGUGGCGUCAAUUGCGACGCUAUUCUGCAUUCCUUGAGAUAGUCGUGGAAUUCAAGACUUAGGUACUCUCCUCCUCGAUCGGAUCGAAGCAUCUUGAUUUUCCUGCCCAAUUGAUUCUCCACUUCAUUCUUGAACUCUUUGAACUUUUCAAACGUUUCAGACUUGUGCUUGAUUAAGUAAAUAUACCCAUAUCUACUAUAAUCAUCGGUGAAAGUCACGUAGAAGCGGUUUCCAUCCUUUGUGGUGGAUCUAAAGGGCCCACACACAUCGGUAUGUAUGAGAUCCAAUAAACCCUCACCCCUCUCACAAGUGCCAGUGAAGGGUGACUUGGUCAUCUUUCCAAGUAAACAAGAUUCGCACGUGUCAUCUUCCCUAAGGUCGAAUGACUCCAACACUCCAUCCUUUUGGAGUUGGGCUAUGUGUUUCUUGUUGACAUGUCCAAGACGACAAUGCCACAAAGAUGCUUUAUCCACACUAUUGGAAGAAUCCAUACACAACACAUCAUUUCCUAGGUUAUCUACAACCAUAACAGUUUCAUAAAUUCCAUUACAAGGCAUUGCUUCAAAGUAUAAAACACCAUUUAGAUAAGCAUAAAUAGAACCAUUCAUAUUAUUAAACGAAUAUCUAAAUCCUUGUCUAAACAAACCAUGAAAUGAAAUGAUGUUUCUUGCCAUAUCUGGCGAGUAGCAACAAUUAUUUAAAUCUAAACCUAAUCCAUUACUAAGCACUAAAGAAUACACUCCAAUCUUGGUGACAGGCGACGAUCUUCUAUUUCCCAUAAUUAGAUUUAUUCUUCCUUGCUCCACAUCUCUAUCUCUUCUUAGUCCCUACAAAUCAGAACAAAUUUGGUAACCACAUCCUGUAUCAAAAACCCAAGAAAUAGUAUGAGAUGAAUCAUUAGAUUUAAUUGUGUAUAUACCUGCAAAAGAUGGCUUGAUCUUUCCAUCCUUGAUGGCUUGCAGAUAUUCUGGUCAGCUUCUCUUCCAAUGCCCUAUUUUGUGGCACUGAUGGCACUCUGCCUCCUUCGGGUUAGGGUUGGGCUUAGCAGGAUCAACCUUGGUCCCACUAGAAGAGGAACCAUCUUGGGACUUUCCCUUGCGGUGGCUCUUUGACGGAGCCUUCCUCUUCUUGCCCCUUCCCUGCCCUAUAGCCAAAACAGGAGCAGCGGUUGGUGCGGGAGUUGGUGCAACAGACUUGUCCUUUAGGUUGCUCUCAGCAGUCCUUAGGAGUCCUUGGAGUUUGCUUAGGGUGACCUCUUCCUUGUUCAUGUGGUAGGUCAUCCUAAAUUGGUUGUAGCAUGAAGGCAAGGAGUGAAGAACAAUGUCGAUGGCCAAAUCCUCCCCAAAGUUAACAUUUAACUUGCGAAGACGAUCAAAAUAUCUUUGCAUCUUUUGCAAGUGUACAGUUAACGAUUCUCCACUUCCCAUCUUGGCGGUGAUCAUGUUGGUGAUGAUCUCGUAGCGCUCUUGCCUCGUGCUUUGGUGGUACCUCUCCAUCAAGUCUUGAUGCAUUUCAUAGGGAUACAUGUCCUCAUAGGACUUUUGGAAUUCUUGGUUCAUAGUGGCUAUCAUGAUGCAAUUGACUUUCAUUGCAUCACGUUCGUGUGUCUCAAAGACAACAAUCUCUUCGAGAGUAGCGAUUUCCGGGUUGACCUUCUCGAGCUUUUCGUCGAGGACAUACUCUUUGUCCUCGUAGCGUGCAACGGUGCGAAUGUAUCUUAUCCAUUCGCUAAAGUUCGUACCAUCGAAGGUCACCUUUUGGCAAAGACUCGUUAAGGUGAAUGAGUUAGCAGCAGCGUUGUUUGCGUUGGACAUCUACAAAUAGAAAGGAAAAAGUUUGAUUAGAAUUUGGAUCCCUAAUUAAACACCCAAUAUGAAAAAUUAGGGCUAGGAUCCAACAACAUUAUUUACAUAUUAGAAAAGGGAUGCUGUAAUCCAACAUGCAAAUAAUUUGGAGGUAAGUGAAUGACGAUUCACUAAUUCUUCACCUAGAAAACAUAACCUUAAGUUUUAUUGAGAAUUCCUAGAUUUUCUUUGAGAUUCAUUGAAACUUUCAAUGGCAUGUUUAAUUCUCAAUAUGCCCCUCUAGUUUGUGACUGGGAUACCGAGGAUCACAAAACGGGUGUGAAUAACCAUGCAAAUCUACACAGUGCCUUCAUUGUUACAAUCACCCAUUCGAUGUGCUGGUAAACCACACAAGCUCCAUCAAACUAUGAUAAACAAUGAAUCACCCUUUGCUACUUUUGCUUAGAACCAAUUAGUGUGCCGGUAAACCACACACGCUCCACUAACUUCUUAGCAAGGGUGCAAAGUGCAAUUUCAUGGGAUUGCAUCAAUUCACUUUUCCUAAAGUAGCUAAGAUUGAGAAUUUUAUAAAUAGUUUAGUUACUUUAUAGAUUCAUUAUACUUAUUAACGAGGAGAGAGAGUUGCCCUAUCCUACCCGUUCGGCUAACGACCCUCCACCAGUCAAGCAAGCGGUAGGUGUGAGUGUACACCCAUUAAGCGCCAUUUUAUAGGCAGCAACCUUAUACCCACCUUAUAGGCCGGCUUUGUGAAUGAGGCCUACUAACGGUAAGACUAGCAUUUUAAUUUUACUUAUAUAUUUAUUAAUCUUUUAAUAAUAUCAUAGUAUAGGGUUGAAUUUUAAACUUGUAAAAUUCUAGGGGUUGAAAUUUAAAUUCUUCUAAAUUAAACUAUUAAUCACCAAAUUCAAAUUUCAAAACUUCGGGAUAAAUAUUGAACUUUUCAAAACAAUAGGGAUCAAAUAACAAAUAAUUCAAAUUAAACAAUUAAUUUCAUAAUUAUCUAUAUUUGACCUAAUUCAAUUUUAGUCAUUAGAUAAUUACCAAAUAAUCUUAAAUAGUCCAUAUUUAUCAUAUAAAUAAUUAAUAUUCAAAAAAUUGAAAUUAUCUAUUGUUAUGUCAAGGAUAAUCAUUAAAUUAGGUUAAAAUUCGGAUUUACACUUAAUAAAACGAUUUAGGUAUCAAUCCAAGACAAAAAUAGCAAUAAAAUCCCGAAUUAUCCUCUGUCUGACGUUGGGACUCGCCGAGUAGGGCCAACUCGCUGAGUCCAGACACUGACUCCUCGAGUUGGGUCGGACAGAGGUGAAGAAAAAUGAUUUUCAGCAAGCAAAACAGUUAAGCAUCACAUUUAAUUAAAGCCAAUCAUGGCUCUGAUACCACUGAUAGGUUUUAGACAUAAGAUCUUUCUUAUGUGCACAUACAACCCUAUAACUUGGAUCUAGGUUUCUCUAAUUGAACAUGCAACAUAUCCAAGACUUUCAUGGCUAGAUCUAAGGUAAACUAACAAUCAAAACAUAUGAAAACAGAUCUAGAAUCAUACCUUGAGUUACUUGCUUGAAACCUUCUUCUUCUUGAAGCUUAGAGUCACAAUUCUCACUCCUCUAAUGGCUUACAAACACCAACUAGCAAGAAGAUGAUUUGAGAGAGGUAAGGAAGAGGGAAAUCGGCUCUAGGGUUACUCCAAUAACAAGGUGCCGAUUUCCACAACCCCAAGGGUCUAUUUAUACUGUGAGCUCCUAGGGUUUCACCCCAAAACCCUAAUUGGAUAACUUAGCAUCAAAGCAAUCCAAUACCCCUUCUAGAUAAGGCCUUGGACGAUUUCUAGGUGAUCCACAUCCCUAAAAUCGUCCACCCCAUAUCCAUAAGGAUUCUUAGCUCAAAAUACAACUAUCACACAUUUGACAGUUUAUACCCUCUUUCUUCAAUUAAUCUCUUUAAGUCACCAAAUUAAUUCCUAAUUAAUUUAUGACUUAUAUUAAUCAAAUAAUAUUAUUAUUCCUUUAACA